CAGGGACAGAACCUGCAUCCUCAUGGUUACUAGGCAGAUUCUUUACCCCUGAGCCAUGAGGGCAACUCCUUGCCACUCUUCUCAAAGAUUUUCCCCCUCCUGAUCCCAUCUGAUCAGUGCUAAAAGGGGCUUGUGUGGUUACUGGUCCAUGUCCCCUCCCCUCUCUACCUUAUUCCAGACCUGUGCUCACAUACCUCCAAUGACAGGAAGCUCACCAUCUUCCAGGCAGGCCUCCUUCAUUUUAAAAACGUCCUGAAACUUCAAAAGCUCAUUCAAAGUUUAUGGCCAAAUCUGCCCUUUAAGAGUUCUACCCACAGAGAACAUACCUAAUCCCCUUUCCACUUUGAGGAAUCACAGAAUCAUAGAAUCAUAGAAUUUUUCAGGUUGGAGAGCCAUGGAGAGCUAAUCCCUUUGGGGACAGAUGGGGCAAACUGAAGCCUACUAAGGACAAAUGACUUCCUAUGACUUCAGUGGUCUUCCAAUUAGAUGGGCUCUGAAAUCAGACUGCCUGGGUCUCAGUCCCCAGCAUUGGCACUUACAAGCUGCCUGUCAUUAAAUGAAAUAAUCCAGGUAAAAUACUAAGAACAGUGCCAGUCUCAGGGUGAGCAUCCAAAAAGUGUUAGCAUUUAUUAUGAUUAUUGAUGUUAAUGUUAUAUCAAGGUCAUAAAUUCAUGUUUUGCCCCCCAAAUUCACUGAAGCCUCCUCUGAGUCUUGUUGACAGUUUCAGGGCCCUGAUCUCUGCCUUCAAGAGGCUCACAAUCUAGCAGAGGAGGAGCUGACUCGGUCCCUAGAUCUGGGGGUGGCAUUCCAACAAAGAUGGGCAGACUCUAAUGCCCCAGAGAAACUUUAAUUCCUUUGAUGGAAAUCUAAACACUCGAGACCCUUUCAAUCCCUAGCCCAGUGGAAUCCAUAGGGAAAAAUGUCACACCCAGGUUCCCAAAGACUAUUAGCACACCUUUCACUUGUCCACACGCUCACCUGCCCACCAGAUGGUAUUGCCCAGUGGUUAGCGUUUGGGAUUUGGAGGCAACUGAGUCCAAGCUCUUCAUCUUAUCAGCUUUGUACCUCUGGGCAAAUCACUUUCCCUCUGAAUUAAUCAUAGCCCUAACUUCAUGUGGAGCUGUUUCGAAAAUUAAAUGAGUAUGUGAAAAUACAUAUGCAAAUACCCAGUAAUGGAGCGAGCAUUAUUUUUUAAUUGCUCCCACAUGUAUUCGUGCACCCAAGAGAGAGCUGGCUGUGAAUGCCUUAAUUUAGCCUCAGCAAAAGGGGUUUCCCUCCCCCACCCCCAUGCCUCCUCUUCGGACUCUCGUCCUCAAUCGAAGAGGCGGGGCCAGGAGCAUCCCGCAGCGGCCAGACUGGGCUGUUCUAAGGAGCCCCGCAAGCCGGUCCGCCCCGCCUCGUUGAUCAGGGCGGGCACUUGGCUCCUCCCCUGUUAGGCAAGAGCAGCCUGUGGGUGACUCAGCAGCGACAACGCCUGCCCCGACCUGAUAAGUCCUCCUACAAUGAAGGGCCUAAAGCAACUGAAUACCCAGAGACCAGAGAGAGAAAAGGAUCGCAUCUGAGGGAUUAGGGAAGAUGGCCUUUAGAAGGGCUGCACCUGUGGCAUAUGGCUGGGGUCCAAUCAGAGCUACAGCUGCUGGCCUACACCACAGCCACAGCAAUGCAGGAUCCAAGCCGUGUCUUCGACCCACACAACAGCUCACAGCAAUCCUGGAUCCUUAAUCCACUGAGUGAGCCCAGGGAUGGAAUCCGCAUCCUUAUGGAUACUAGUCGCGUUUGCUACCACCGCGCCAAAAUAGGAACUCCUGGAUGGGUUUCCGAAGGACAGUUUCAUCUCCUCCAAGACAGGUCCUGAGGGGAGGGCCACACUUCCCACUCAGUGUGAGCCAACAGGUCUAUGUCACCCUCCAGACUGGGGGUCCCCUCAUGAGGGGACCACAGAGGAUGAGCGAAAGAAACAGUGAGAGAUGAGGACACUGAGAACAGAGCUCACUUUAUUGGGAAAAGAGAAAGUUGGGUCCUUGGUCUCAAAACAGGACCUGGAAGAGGCAAAAGCCAGGUGUUUGAAUCAAGCGUCAUUUGAACAUGCCCGCCUCCCUCACCUCCCAAGUGGGGCAGCUCCAGUUACAAGCACCAGCGGCCCCCGCCCCCCAACCCCAGGCUGUGUUACCAAUGGACAUCUGUUUCUGGGAUCAAGGAACGUGAGGGAAAUGUCUCCUUCUCUCCCAGCAUGGCAGUGCCCUCAGAACCCAUCAGCUCCUACCUCUAACCCUCCAUUGCACAGAGGCCCAGAAAGGGACAGAACCCUGCCCAGAGGCACACAGUCAGCAAGUGCAGGAUGGAGAGUCAAACCCGCAUUCCUGUCUCCUGGCUUGGGACUCAUUCCAAGAGAAGAUUCUAGAAGAUGGGCCCCAUCAAAUGGGUAUCACCUGCCCUGACACUCGCCAAGAGACUCCAUCCCCAUGACUCAUAGGUGCAAGCCAGAAGACGCAGGCCAGUGCCACCUGGGGACCUCCUAGGGUGGGCCCCUGGGAGGGCGGUGCUGCUGAGGACAAAAGGGACAGCUAUGGGGAAGGUGCUUGGGAAGAAGACAUCCUCUUGAAAUUUGCUUCUCUGAUGAGUGCAAUCCUACCUUCUGAAAUCCAAGAUGGUUAAAAAGCAAAGUCCUUCGCUCCUGACCCAUCUACAGCAUCCAGAGACGGCCAUCAGAGCAGCAAUAACCUAGAAUGUUAGAUAAUGUCAAAAAGCUCCAUUUGGAGUUCCUGCUGUGAUGCAAUGGGAUCAGCAGUGUCUCUGCAGCACCAGCAUGCGGUUCAAUCCCCAGCCUGGCAGUGGGUUAAAGCAGGUGUUGCCACAGCUGCAGCAGCGUAGGUCUGCAACUGCAGCUUGGAUCCAGUCCCUAGCCCGGGAAAUCCCUAUGCCGUAGAGUGGCCAAACACGGGAAAAAAAAGCUCCACUUGUCGAGCACUUAUAUGCACCAGGCACCUCAUUGAUCCACUUGGUGGAUUAACUGCCUUGUGCCAGUUGCAGCAUCAGUUGCUGGGAAAUUUGUGAGACUAAAACAGACAUGAUCCUUCACUCAUAGCUUCUUUGUAAGUCUUCACAACUUCUUGGUAGGCAUGGUCCCCCAUGAUUAAGGAAAUGGGCUCACAGAGUGAGGUGAUUUCCCAAGGUUACACAGCAAAGACAUGGCAAGCAGUCAAAAAAAUCACAGAACAAGCUGGCCUUCCAAGACACAGAGGGACUAGAUGGGAGAGGGACCUGCCAAAGUCACAGCAGUUUCUUGAGUGGCUGGCACCUGCCCCUGCUACAAAGGUGAUGAGAAACAGAGCUGGCAGGGAGCAUGCUCAGUCCACACCUGUGAGCUAGACACAGGAAUCCCCACAGUGCCCCCGCGUAAUCACAGAAUGUCCUCUUGGGAGCCAGGAGGAGGUAAGCAGAGGAAGUGAACUUGAUGGAACCAAGAUGGGAUUCUAGCUGGCCCAGCCAUGGACAAGCUGUGUGGCCUUGGGAAAAUCAUUCCCCUCUCUGAGCCUCAGUUUCCUCAUCUGUAAAAUAGGGGUAAUAAUAAUGCCUACUUCACAGUCAUGUGGUGAAGAUGAAAUGUUACCCCAUGUAAAGUGCCUGGAACCAGGAAGGGCCCUGUGUGCCAUCUGUAUUAUCUAUUAUAAUGACACUGGCCUCUCACUGAGAUCUGCAUCUGGGGAGGGCUCUGCACAGGUGGGGCUCAUGGCAAGUGGUGCUGAUGGAGCCAGAACCUUAGCAAGCCCCCAGCCCAGCUCGCCACUCUGUCAGGAAGUCCAUCCUGAAGACACCUCACCAGCCCCUCUCUGGCCCUCAUUUUGAAUUUCCAAGCUGCCUGACCCCAGGACCAGCCUGCUAUUCUAGUCCCUGCUCUCCCAACACCUGCAAGCUCAGAGUAGGGGGGCGGGGUCCAGGUCCUGACCCUCUGCCGUCACCCCCCUACACAUACCAGCUCCCAGCACUAGGUGCUCAGUGCCCAGAAAUGAAAUAAAGGAAGAAAUGAUGAUGAGUAAGUAAGUGAUGAGAAAAGGGGUGUGUGUGUGUGUUUAAGUGCUGGAGCCAGGAUCGGGGGGAAUCACUUCAUAGGGGUUUUAGAGCCUCAAAGGUGCUCCCUGCCUGGAUCUGCAGUGGUUGCAAGGCUGAGGAUCUGCAGCUGAUGACAGAGGGGCUGGUCUUCAGGCAGAGGCCCCGCAGGGGCCCAACCUGUGUUAUUGCUCCUCCAAGUUCUCUCAGGACAUAGUGACUCCACCUUGUGGAACAUUUCAAAUUCCACCUCAAGCAAACCUCUUUAGACAGCAGCCUCUGGCACCCCCAUUACUAUUGCAGAAUAACCUUAUAUCAGGGCCCCCUAUGUGCCAGGCAGAAUCUCUAGGCCUCAGAGAGGGUGCUUGGAAACAAAGUGACUUGCUUAAGAUCACAUUGCCAGUAAGUGGACAGGAAUCUAGCAAAAUCAGGAUACUCACUAGAAACUGAGCAUCAUAUUAGAGACUGACUCAUUCCCUCACCGUAAAUCUAGGAGGAAACAGGAGUUCCCAUUGUGGCUCAACCGAAACAAAUCUGACUAGUAUCCAUGAGGAUGCAGGUUCAAUUCCUGGCUUCGAUCAGUGGGUCAAGGAUCCAGUGUUGCCGUGAGCUGUGGUGUAGGUUGCAGAUGCAGCUUGGAUCUGGCAUUGCUGUGGCUGUGGCGAGAGCCAGCGACUGCAGCUCUGAUUCAACUCCUAGCCUGGGAACUUCCAUGUGCCAUGGUGUGGCCCUAAAAAAGACCAAAAGAAAAGAAAAAUCUAGGAGGAAACAGAAGCUCAGAGAGGGUAAAACCUUGCCAAGGUCACACACCCAACCAGUUAGCAUCAGAAGUGAGAGUUGAAUCCAUUGUUGGGGCUCCCCAGGCCAUGCAGAAAAGUGAACCUGAGGGCUCUGGUUUACUCCCAUCACCCUCCUGCCCUCCCCACCCAGCCUCUCUUACAUGACACUUGACAUUAUCCAUCACUCCCUCCCCCUGGGAACGCCCUCCUCCUCCAGUUUCCAUGGCAGCACAUUCUCCCCAUCCUCCUCUUGUUUCUCUGGCAGCUUCACAUCUCCAACAGUGGCUCCUGAGCCUACAAAGCAGGGGGGUCCCCAGGCUUGGUCCCACAUCUCGUCUCCCUCCAUCGCUACCUCCAAAAGCUCAUCUCCUUUUCCCUCUAGAUCUCUAACUAUCACUUUGCACUGCCGCUCCACUUUUAAGUAAUAAAAAGCUCUUACCAAGUUCCUGUUGUGGCUUAUCAGUAACGUAGCCGACUAGUACCCAAGAGGAUGUGGGUUCAAGCCCUGGCCUUGCUCAGUGGAUUAAGGAUCACUGGCAUUGCUGUGAGCUGUGAUGUAGGUUGCAGACAGGCCUCGGAUCUGGCAUUGCUGUGGCUGCGGUGUGGGCCGACUGCUGUAGCUACGAUUGGCCCCCUAGCCUGGGAACUUUCAUAGCAUAGGUGCAUCCCUAAAGAGACAAAAAAAAAAAAAAAAAAAAA
Molecule: non-coding RNA, 5525 nt
Organism: Sus scrofa (pig)
Lineage: Eukaryota; Metazoa; Chordata; Mammalia; Artiodactyla; Suidae
Source: RefSeq, a predicted model, not a curated record